AAAUUGAAGAGUUUGAUCAUGGCUCAGAUUGAACGCUGGCGGCAGGCCUAACACAUGCAAGUCGAACGGUAACAGGAAACAGCUUGCUGUUUCGCUGACGAGUGGCGGACGGGUGAGUAAUAUCUGGGAAACUGCCUGAUGGAGGGGGAUAACUACUGGAAACGGUAGCUAAUACCGCAUAACGUC
RNAcentral lists this ribosomal RNA (186 nucleotides) under Escherichia coli. RNAcentral describes it as "partial 16S ribosomal RNA". It matches the Rfam family "Bacterial small subunit ribosomal RNA", at positions 1 to 180 of the family's 1533-position model. Lineage: Bacteria; Pseudomonadati; Pseudomonadota; Gammaproteobacteria; Enterobacterales; Enterobacteriaceae. The record is from RNAcentral.